GAUGAACGCUAGCGGCAGGCUUAAUACAUGCAAGUCGAGGGCUCAGCAAUGGGACCGGCGCACGGGUGCGUAACACGUAUGCAACCUGCCUGUAUCUGGGGGAUAGCCCGAGGAAACUCGGAUUAAUACCGCAUACCACUGAGGGUCGGCAUCGAUUUUCAGUGAAAGAUUUAUCGGAUACAGAUGGGCAUGCGCAGGAUUAGCUAGUUGGUGUGGUAACGGCACACCAAGGCGACGAUCCUUAGGGGCUCUGAGAGGAGUAACCCCCACACUGGCACUGAGAUACGGGCCAGACUCCUACGGGAGGCAGCAGUAGGGAAUAUUGGGCAAUGGAGGCAACUCUGACCCAGCCAUGCCGCGUGCAGGAAGACGGCCCUCUGGGUUGUAAAACUGCCUUUUAAGUAGGAGGAAAGUGCAGCUUGCGAGCUGUUUUGACGUUACACUAGAAUAAGCCACGGCUAACUACGUGCCAGCAGCCGACGG
RNAcentral lists this ribosomal RNA (483 nucleotides) under uncultured bacterium. RNAcentral describes it as "bacterial SSU rRNA". It matches the Rfam family "Bacterial small subunit ribosomal RNA", at positions 28 to 520 of the family's 1533-position model. The record is from RNAcentral.